This is a non-coding RNA of Pantherophis guttatus, 1193 nucleotides long. Lineage: Eukaryota; Metazoa; Chordata; Lepidosauria; Squamata; Colubridae. The record is from RefSeq and is a predicted model, not a curated record.
UCCAGUCUCACGUGCUGUUACCGAUGUCUGGAUAUUUUGCUUGCCUUGCCCUGCUUGCCUUGCUUACCUGGCCUGGCUAUGUGCGAGUUCACAGCAACACAGUUCUGCUCUGGAUUGUGCUGCAGUCCCAGUGAACUCUUCCUGUGAUUAGGAGUCCUUGGAACCAAAUUCCCUGAACUGUGGCUGUUCUCAGAACCAUGCUGCUCCUCUGGACUAAUAGCAACCAGGAACUAUUGGAGGUGCAUGUUUAGAGAUUGGCUCCUGGACUUGCAGUGAAUGGUGGGACUUUUGGGGGAAAGUUGGAUAAAUAAAGGGGAGUUAAGCCUUUGUUCCAGCUGUGUUGCUUCCGUGCCCAGCCCCUGGUCAUCACACUUCAGCUUUCCUUUGCUUAACAGACCUGCAAAUAUCAUAAAUGUGAAGAUGAGUCAGAAAGUUACUUUUCCAUAACCGUUGUAACUGCAAAGAAGGCAGUUGCUAAACAAGGACUGCCUGUACUGGAAAAAGAUAAGAGAUGGAGACCAUAAGCAAUGAGAAGAGCAGGAGGAAUUCAUCUCUGGCCUAUACAUCUAUAUUUGAUCCAUCAAUUGUGUGGAACAGGGCAAGCCUCCUUCUUUCAGGCAAUAGAUACCAAUUCUCAGAAAUUUGUUCUUGGAAGUUGACAGCAAACCACCAUGGCAAAAUUGUGAACUAUGAGCAAUAGAAUCCAAGCACUAUACCAAAACCUUUGCAGGUGGUGAAGCCAGCAAUAUAUACAUCCAACUAGAAAGGAACCAAUGAAUCUCUGUACCCAAUGCAUCUUCAAGUCAGUGUUUGCUCCUGGUGACUUCCUGGGCAAGUAGCUGCUUUGUUCUUGGCAAGAUUUCAGAAGUGGUUUGCCAUUGUCUCCUUCCUAGAGCUGAGAGUGAUUGGCCCAUGGUCACCCAGCUGACAUUGUGUCUAAAUCUCUUUGUGUCUACACCAAAUUGGCUUUUUUUUCUAGAAUAGUUAUGCUACAAAAAGAAGAAAGGAAUUACAAGAUAGGGGAUAAAAAGAUGUAUGUGUAUUUCUUUAUAGCCAGUGUAGUGUGUUCACUAAAAUGUUGAUCCAAUCUGCUCUCAGUUAUGAAAGCCUGUUGCCAUUCAUUCCCUUAGUCUUAUCUAUUUCACAUGGUUGUUGUUGUUGCAUGAAUAAAAUGAAGAGAAUUUUCUAUGUCA